CGGUCAAGAAACUAAGGGCGCAAGGCGGAUGCCUUGGCACCAGGAGGCGAAGAAGGACGUGACAAGCAACGAAAACCUCGAGUAGGAGCAAAUAUCCAGUAACUCGGGGGAAUCCGAAUGGGGAAACCUACUAGACACACUCUAGUAUCCAUACGUAAAUCAAUAGCGUAUGGAAGCGAAUGUUCUGAACUGAAACAUCUAAGUAGGAACAAGAAAAGAAAGAAAACUCGAUUCUCCAAGUAGCGGCGAGCGAACAGAGAACAGCCCAUUAAAGUAAGACUAAACUGAUAGACAAAUCUUAUGGAAAGAAGAACCAAAGAAAGUAACAGUCUUGUAGUCGAAAUCAGAAUAGAGACACUUUAAGAAGAGUACCACGGAGCACGUGAAAUUCUGUGGGAAGAUAGGGGGACCACCCCCUAAGGCUAAAUACUACCUGGUGACCGAUAGCGAAUAGUACCGUGAGGGAAAGGUGAAAAGAACCCCGGGAGGGGAGUGAAACAGAACCUGAAACCUUGCGCCUACAAGCAGACAGAGGAAGAAGACUUCUAAUGUCGUACUUUUUGUAGAACGGGCCAGCGAGUUACGAUACGUAGCAAGAUUAAACAUUUAAGAUGUGAAGUCGCAGGGAAACCGAGUCUUAAUAGGGCGAAAGUUAUGUGUUGUAGACCCGAAACCGGGUGAUCUAUCCAUGGGC
RNAcentral lists this ribosomal RNA (694 nucleotides) under Bacteroides ovatus. RNAcentral describes it as "partial 23S ribosomal RNA". It matches the Rfam family "Bacterial large subunit ribosomal RNA", at positions 1 to 741 of the family's 2925-position model. Lineage: Bacteria; Pseudomonadati; Bacteroidota; Bacteroidia; Bacteroidales; Bacteroidaceae. The record is from RNAcentral.